AUAUCAAACAGACCGAUGGAGGCCUACAGAUGGCCAACAGAUUGCAUUCCAGACUGGGCCUUCAUUCUAGGACUGGCCAGUGGGGGAGCAGAGAGAGUAGUCUCGUCUCGAUGGCUCUCUGGGGCUCUGGACGUAAAAACCUCUCAUCAUCACCAUCAUCCUCAGACAGAGGCUGUGUCAGGCACCUGAGACCAUGUUUUUCCAUCAGCGCUGAGCAGGGAUCAGAGUUUGAUCCCAUCAAUAUCUGCAGUGGCAUCAACAUCAAGCUCAGCACCAGGAACUAGUACCAAUCCUGCUGCUGAUGACGAUGACCUGGACACCAGCUUUAGUAGUACAGAGCCUGUAGACCCAUUGAAUGAAAGCUUUCAGCAUGGAAUAAGCCCAAUCUCAACAUCACCUGACGUGGAUACAAGCCAUGACAGC
Salmo salar (Atlantic salmon) is the source of this 423-nucleotide non-coding RNA. The record is from RefSeq and is a predicted model, not a curated record. Lineage: Eukaryota; Metazoa; Chordata; Actinopteri; Salmoniformes; Salmonidae.